Molecule: long non-coding RNA, 2275 nt
Organism: Sceloporus undulatus (fence lizard)
Lineage: Eukaryota; Metazoa; Chordata; Lepidosauria; Squamata; Phrynosomatidae
Exons: 3
Source: RefSeq, a predicted model, not a curated record
CUCAAGGGGAGCAGCUUCUCGGUCUGUCUGAGUCUGGCUUGGCUGCCUGGCUGCCUGGCUGUUGGUCUGCGUAAAGAAGGGGCUCCAGGAGAAGAAACUCAAGGCGAGUUUAUCAGUCAGUCAGUCCAUCCAUCCAGCACCUAUCUGCCUUCCUUCAGAGGAACCACCCUGAGGGGGCUCUAGAAAAAAGAAACUUAAGGUUUCUUGCCAUCAGGCCCUAGCCAUGACUUCAGCCUCUGUGUACUGAUAAUCACAAUUUUCAGAUGGAAUGCAUCAGAGAAGAAGAUUCUGCUCAGCAACCAGUUUUCCAGUGAGGGUCAGAUGGACCUCCUGUCUUGCUGGGCACCGUGACAGAAUGCCUUAUCAUUUCUCCUUGGGGAGGGAAAAAGAGAUGGAUGCUCUGUGAGAAAAAACAAUCUGUUUCAAAAAGCUGUUAUGUUUGGAGACUGGACACGUUGCAGAGUAACCAAUAAUGGCCAUGCAACAUUGUGAAUGUGGUUCACUGAUAAACUAUAGCAUGCAAAAUGCUUAGCAUGUGUUUUCCCACUCUGAAGUAUGCUUCCCCUAGCCUUCCCUUCCCUUUUAAAUUUUGAUCAGCCACCACAAUAUUUUUUUCUCCAUGGGACUGUGUCCAUGGCAAUGGCUGGAUGGCAGUCAUCUUUUUUGACAGCAGCAUAAAACAAAGUGAACAGUUUUGCAGCAGUAUAAUCUCCCCCCUGCCACCUUCAUCCACUUUGUUUUACAAAUGAAACUUGAACUCUGCUGUGAUUUAUGUAUCUGUCUUUCUGGAAACACUAAACUGAAAUAAUAAUAUUUGUAGCUGGGUUACAGAACACUCACCUUUACCACUGAUGAUGCAGAGAACAGAAUCCUUAUUUAAUAGUUGUUCUUAAAGAUCUAUUAAGCUAAAACAUCAAUCAGUGGUGCAGAGUUUACAUGCUUGCCAAUGAUUUCAAACUACAAGGCUGUAGCAGAACGGUUACAUAGGCAGCUUCUAUCUGAUUGCAUACAAUAGGUAUUUAUGAUCAUAUAUAUGUGAUAUAUGUGGGCAGUAUUUCCGAAUGGCUGCCAUGGUAGGUGUGGCUCAUCACAUAACACUUAUUUCCCAGAAUGGUGAACUGAUAAGGCUGAAAGACAAUUUGAUCCAGAACUGUACUCAAAUGAUUUGCACAAAAUGAUUUCUUUGAAUCCAUGUUUUUUAUUCUAAGAAGUCACCGAAAGGAUAGUCAAUUAUUUUCUCAAAUCGCCUCUAAAAUGGAUACUUCCCACAUUGCAAAAGUAUAAGAAAACACAUGCACUCUUUCUGGAUCACUCCAACCACACAACCUCUGACACUCUAGAGGGAUAUUAAAGUCUUUAGUGCUCUCUUCUGCACACAUAUAUCCCACAUCCCUAUGUUGUUGUUAACUACCUUGGAGUCUACAACAACCAUAUUCAUCCAUAAUGGAGAUGUACAGUCUUAAUUUGAAAAUCUGUUGUGCCCAAAUGAUGACAAGUUGAUAUUUAAAAUGUAUUAAAUAUUAUUGAAAAUUGAGAUGGAGGAUGAAAAGUAAAAGAAUGUCUGGUCAAACAGGCACAAAAUUUAGGUUAUAAUGUACAUAUAAAGAAGUGGACAAAUGGCUUAAAGUUUACUUUAAGUUAUGACCUUAAGGAAUGUUUUAUAAGAUGAGGUACUGCUGGUAUCUAACACCAGCAAGAAUUUUUAAAAUGUAUAAAGGUUCUUUAAAUCUAUGUUGGAAAUGUGAGAAACAAGAAGGAAAUGUUUAUCAUGUCUGGUCGACUUGUAAGAAAGCUAAAAAAAACCUUUGGACUCAGAUUUAUUAUGCUAAUGAAAGAUAUCCUGAAAAUAAAAUUUCAAGUGAAACCAGAACUAUUUUUGUUGAGAACUUUGGAUGAACAGCUGGAGAGGAAGAAUGGAAGAGUUAUGUGGUACAUAACAAAUGCAGAGAAAAUGAUUUAAGAUCAGACAUAGAAAGAGAAAAAGAUUUAAUCUCAAGAAUACUGGUUGUUAAAAUUAUAUGAAUUUAUAGAAAUGGAUAAGUUGACUACAUUAAUACAUGAGAAAUCAUUAGAUGAUUAUAAAAAGAAUGGAAGCUGUUAAUAGAUUAUAUGGUAAAGAGGUGGGGAUCUGCAAUGGUUUUAGGUUUCUGGGGCCCAUUACAAACAGGCCGUUUUGUGCGUGCGGAGCGCGCACUAGGGUUAGAAAGGAGCGGUGCUUCCGCACCCCCCUAACCCUAGUGCGUGCUCUGCACGCACAAAAUGGCAGUAGCCGUUC